Long non-coding RNA from Hordeum vulgare subsp. vulgare (domesticated barley), 389 nucleotides. RefSeq lists it as uncharacterized. NCBI's taxonomy places the organism in Eukaryota, Viridiplantae, Streptophyta, Magnoliopsida, Poales, Poaceae. The record is from RefSeq and is a predicted model, not a curated record. The transcript has 3 exons.
CUCAUGGAGACCUCCUCUCCCAACCCUACAUGGAGGCCAAUGUACACCGCUGCACCUGAAAGCUUGCUAAAUUUUGGGCAAUUCCCUCCAAUGCAUCCUUAUAAUUUUCGACCUCCGCCGGUCCACUAUCCAGAACAAGGACACGGCAAUUUGGAGAAUUUGCACUUUGUUUGGGCUUCUCCACACGAUUCCUUUUCAACACCACCACCGCCACCGCACCCUAAAGUCGCAUCUCGGUCUGGUCCUGCAAAAGUGGAUUCGACAUCUUCCAAAAAGAAAAGGAAGACCAUCAAUGUAGAUGAAGAAGAAUUGGGAGAAAGGACCGCAUAUCGUCUGCCCUAUACACCCGAGGAACAUGACAGACUGGCUGGUGCUUGGCUAGAGUGUUC